CCGGCUUACCAACCCGAUGCAAACUGCGAAUACCGGAGAAUGUUAUCACGGGAGACACACGGCGGGUGCUAACGUCCGUCGUGAAGAGGGAAACAACCCAGACCGCCAGCUAAGGUCCCAAAGUCAUGGUUAAGUGGGAAACGAUGUGGGAAGGCCCAGACAGCCAGGAUGUUGGCUUAGAAGCAGCCAUCAUUUAAAGAAAGCGUAAUAGCUCACUGGUCGAGUCGGCCUGCGCGGAAGAUGUAACGGGGCUAAACCAUGCACCGAAGCUGCGGCAGCGACACUGUGUGUUGUUGGGUAGGGGAGCGUUCUGUAAGCCUGUGAAGGUGUGUCGUGAGGCAUG
RNAcentral lists this ribosomal RNA (343 nucleotides) under Salmonella enterica. Its description in RNAcentral is "partial 23S ribosomal RNA". It matches the Rfam family "Bacterial large subunit ribosomal RNA", at positions 931 to 1272 of the family's 2925-position model. Lineage: Bacteria; Pseudomonadati; Pseudomonadota; Gammaproteobacteria; Enterobacterales; Enterobacteriaceae. The record is from RNAcentral.